Molecule: non-coding RNA, 88 nt
Filed under: uncultured Rummeliibacillus sp.
Lineage: Bacteria; Bacillati; Bacillota; Bacilli; Caryophanales; Caryophanaceae
Description: pan motif
Rfam family: pan motif
Source: RNAcentral
GGACAGUAUCUUUAUAGAACUGUACCUUAGAUUUGAAUUUCACUAUAACAAAAAAAUCUGCCUUGAUCUUUGAAGACAGGGACGGAAG